UGUACCGUUACCACGGCAACCGCAUCGCCCCGGGGUAGGUAAAGAUGGCGGGGCGAAGUGUUAGAGCGCCGAGACGCGGUGCUGCAGGUACCCAGUCGCGCGGGCAGCUUGCAGCUGGACGGGACCUCCUCGCCCGUGAGCAAGAGUACAAGCGUUUAAAUGCAGAAUUAGAGGCAAAAACUGCUAAUCUGGUUCGACAAGCUGAGGAAGUAAUAAGAGAGCAGCAAGAAGUGCGAGCCACGCCUUUUUCAGCACUAAUUACAGCAUGCAAAGAGGAGGAUGGUUACAAUCCGAGAGAACUGUUGUCUUCUGAAGGGAUGGCUCAUCCAUGGUCAGAAACCAAGCCAAAGACCAAAAACAUUGGUCCUGUAAACAAGAUUCAAAACAGACUCCACUCUGCAGAUAAAGAGAGGAAAACAAAUUCAAGUGUUAAACUGAAAUAUCCUGACAUGCAGACUGCCAAUGAUGUGGCCAUCCCAGACGAUUUCUCAGACUUCUCCCUUGCCAAGACAAUUAGCAGGAUUGAAGGGCAGCUGGAAGAGGGUGGCUUGCCUGAGUGUGCAGAGGACGACAGCUUCUGUGGUGUUAGUAAGGACAUUGGGACAGAGGCUCAGAUCCGAUUUCUAAAGGCCAAGCUCCAUGUGAUGCAGGAGGAACUGGACAGCAUUGUGUGUGAGUGCAAUAAGAAGGAGGAUGAAAUUCAGGACUUAAAGUCCAAGGUGAAAAAUUUGGAAGAAGACUGUGUGCGACAACAGCGAACAGUUACAUCCCAGCAAUCCCAAAUAGAAAAAUAUAAGAAUCUUUUUGAAGAAGCAAAUAAAAAAUGUGAUGAAUUACAGCAACAGCUAUCAUCAGUAGAACGGGAAUUAGAAAAUAAAAGAAGAUUACAAAAACAGGCUGCAUCAAGUCAGAGUGCCACGGAGGUCCGCCUGAAUCGAGCUCUCGAAGAAGCAGAAAAGUAUAAAGUGGAGCUGAGUAAACUCAGGCAAGCAAACAAGCUUCUUUAUAAAGUGCAGUGUCCUCUGCUGUGUGCUGUCACCUUGACGGACUGGGCUCCUCAGCCCUGAGGCAUUUGGGCCCAGGGAACCUGGAUGGAGACUGCUGAAGCUAAGCAAAGCCAGCCUCCCUCAAGUUGUUUUGGACAUUGUGCUACAGGCCAGAAAGCUGACUCAGUUUAGGCAUGCUGAUGUUUGGUACACAUGCAACUGUCACAGCUUGGAGAGCAGACCAUUUGGCCAUUAUGUAAUGUUCUUGCCUCUUCAUAAAUCUGACUGAGAAGCAACUGUACAGACAUCAGACAAAUAUAAACGGAUUUCUUUUGGCUACUAUUUCUGUGGAUUAUCUCCUUCCAUCCACCGCACAUGUCUUUAGAGCUAACCUGCUCACCUAUGGACAGAAUAUACUUGGGUCCUGUUCUGUUUUAUUCCAUCUUUUCCAACUUGGGCAUUCUUAGUUGUCUGACUCUGUAGUAAGUGCUGACAAGGACAGGCUUUUUAUGACAUUUCUUGUCCUCUGUCAUUUUUACCUCACAGCCUUUAACUAGCUUUUGUUCCCCUCUCAUUUAGGCCUCUCUUGUCAUUGGUGUACUUUAUGGCUACCUGUGAAGUUAAAGGAAGCUAAUUUUUUAUUUAUUUACAUGUCAAAUGUUAUCCCCUUUCCCAGUUUCCCCUAUCCCAUCUCUUACCCUGCUUCUAUGAGGGUACUC
Mastomys coucha (southern multimammate mouse) is the source of this 1705-nucleotide RNA transcript. It is a transcript of the gene named testis expressed 9, with no coding region annotated. Lineage: Eukaryota; Metazoa; Chordata; Mammalia; Rodentia; Muridae. The transcript has 12 exons. The record is from RefSeq and is a predicted model, not a curated record.